Molecule: ribosomal RNA, 118 nt
Organism: Lepisosteus oculatus (spotted gar)
Lineage: Eukaryota; Metazoa; Chordata; Actinopteri; Semionotiformes; Lepisosteidae
Source: Ensembl
GCCAGCAGCCAUAUAACCUGCAACUCACAACUGGCAACCCACUGAAGCUAAGCAGGUGUGAGCCUGGUCAGUACCUGGAUGGGAGACCUCCUGGGAAAAACUAAGGUUGCUGCUGGAA